UACGUAGGGUGCGAGCGUUAAUCGGAAUUACUGGGCGUAAAGCGCGUGUAGGCGGUUGCGUAAGUUGGUUGUGAAAUCCCUCGGCUUAACCGAGGAACUGCAGCCAAUACUGCGCGGCUGGAGUGGCAGAGAGGAAAGUGGAAUUCCCGGUGUAGUAGUGAAAUGCGUAGAUAUCGGGAGGAACACCAGUGGCGAAGGCGACUUUCUGGCUGCUAACUGACGCUGAGACGCGAAAGCUAGGGGAGCGAACGGG
This 253-nucleotide ribosomal RNA is filed under the name uncultured bacterium. RNAcentral's name for it is "partial 16S ribosomal RNA". It matches the Rfam family "Bacterial small subunit ribosomal RNA", at positions 524 to 776 of the family's 1533-position model. The record is from RNAcentral.